Molecule: long non-coding RNA, 215 nt
Filed under: Lathyrus oleraceus (garden pea)
Lineage: Eukaryota; Viridiplantae; Streptophyta; Magnoliopsida; Fabales; Fabaceae
Description: Pisum sativum (pea) long non-coding RNA (PSAT_LNC002001)
Source: RNAcentral
UUAUUAAAUAAAAGAAUAGUAAAUUAAAAAUAUUAAUUAGAAAAUAUAAUUUGAAGAUAAACAUUAAAAUUGUAUUGGAAAUUAAAAUAUAAUAUUAUUUUAGGACAAACAAUUUUAUAAAAUACAAUAAUUAUUAAGAAAUAAAGAAAAAUACUUUAUAUAUAUAUAUUAUGAAAAAGAGGAAAUAAAUCCUAAUAAAAAAAUUAGCACAAGUA